RNAcentral lists this transfer RNA (17 nucleotides) under Barbarea vulgaris (winter cress). Its description in RNAcentral is "partial tRNA-Phe". Lineage: Eukaryota; Viridiplantae; Streptophyta; Magnoliopsida; Brassicales; Brassicaceae. The record is from RNAcentral.
AUAGGACUGAAAAUCCU